Molecule: ribosomal RNA, 495 nt
Filed under: uncultured bacterium
Lineage: Bacteria
Description: partial 16S ribosomal RNA
Rfam family: Bacterial small subunit ribosomal RNA
Source: RNAcentral
GACGAACGCUGGCGGCGUGCCUAAUACAUGCAAGUAGAACGCUGAAGGAGGAGCUUGCUCUUCUGGAUGAGUUGCGAACGGGUGAGUAACGCGUAGGUAACCUGCCUGGUAGCGGGGGAUAACUAUUGGAAACGAUAGCUAAUACCGCAUAAGAGUAGAUGUUGCAUGACAUUUACUUAAAAGUUGCAAUUGCCUCACUACCAGAUGGACCUGCGUUGUAUUAGCUAGUUGGUGGGGUAACGGCUUACCAAGGCGACGAUACAUAGCCGACCUGAGAGGGUGAUCGGCCACACUGGGACUGAGACACGGCCCAGACUCCUACGGGAGGCAGCAGUAGGGAAUCUUCGGCAAUGGGCGGAAGGCUGACCGAGCAACGCCGCGUGAGUGAAGAAGGUUUUCGGAUCGUAAAGCUCUGUUGUAAGGGAAGAACGAGUGUGAGAGUGGAAAGUUCACACUGUGACGGUAUCUUACCAGAAAGGGACGGCUAACUACGUG